Molecule: ribosomal RNA, 234 nt
Filed under: uncultured bacterium
Lineage: Bacteria
Description: partial 16S ribosomal RNA
Rfam family: Bacterial small subunit ribosomal RNA
Source: RNAcentral
UGAGCAAUCUGCCCUUCUCAUCGGAAUAAGCGUUGGAAACGACGUCUAAUGCCGAAUACGACCUCCUUUCGCAUGAUCGGAGGUGGAAAGCUCCGGCGGAGAAGGAUGAGCUCGCGGCCUAUCAGCUAGUUGGUGUGGGUAAUGGCCCACCAAGGCGACGACGGGUAGCCGGCCUGAGAGGGCGACCGGCCACACUGGGACUGAGACACGGCCCAGACCUCCUACGGGAGGNAG